RNAcentral lists this ribosomal RNA (524 nucleotides) under uncultured bacterium. RNAcentral's name for it is "bacterial SSU rRNA". It matches the Rfam family "Bacterial small subunit ribosomal RNA", at positions 777 to 1302 of the family's 1533-position model. The record is from RNAcentral.
AAUAGAUACCCGGGUAGUCCACGCCCUAAACGAUGCAUAUUUGGUGUAGGUCAUUCAGUUGAUCUGUGCCGGAGCUAACGCGUUAAAUAUGCCGCCUGGGGAGUACAGUCGCAAGGCUGAAACUCAAAGGAAUUGACGGGGGCCCGCACAAGCGGUGGAGCAUGUGGUUCAAUUCGACGCAACGCGAAGAACCUUACCUGGGCUCGAACGGCUGGUCAACGAUCGUGGAAACACGGUUACUCCGCAAGGAGGUCCAGUCGAGGUGCUGCAUGGCUGUCGUCAGCUCGUGUCGUGAGAUGUUGGGUUAAGUCCCGCAACGAGCGCAACCCUUGUCCUGUGUUGCCAUCCCGCAAGGGGGGACUCGCAGGAGACCGCCAGCGAUAAGCUGGAGGAAGUGGGGAUGACGUCAAGUCCUCAUGGCCUUUAUGUCCAGGGCUACACACGUGCUACAAUGGCCGGUACAAAGCGCAGCUAAGUCGCGAGACGGAGCCAAUCGCAAAAAACCGGUCUCAGUUCGGAUUGCG